UACGUAGGUCCCGAGCGUUGUCCGGAUUUAUUGGGCGUAAAGCGAGCGCAGGUGGUUUAUUAAGUCUGGUGUAAAAGGCAGUGGCUCAACCAUUGUAUGCAUUGGAAACUGGUAGACUUGAGUGCAGGAGAGGAGAGUGGAAUUCCAUGUGUAGCGGUGAAAUGCGUAGAUAUAUGGAGGAACCCCGGUGGCGAAAGCGGCUCUCUGGCCUGUAACUGACGCUGAGGCUCGAAAGCGUGGGGAGCAAACAGG
Molecule: ribosomal RNA, 252 nt
Filed under: uncultured bacterium
Lineage: Bacteria
Description: partial 16S ribosomal RNA
Rfam family: Bacterial small subunit ribosomal RNA
Source: RNAcentral